RNAcentral lists this transfer RNA (73 nucleotides) under Candidatus Wolfebacteria bacterium RIFCSPLOWO2_01_FULL_45_19. RNAcentral describes it as "tRNA-Glu". It matches the Rfam family "tRNA". From Rfam's summary of the family: Transfer RNA (tRNA) molecules are approximately 80 nucleotides in length. Their secondary structure includes four short double-helical elements and three loops (D, anti-codon, and T loops). Lineage: Bacteria; Candidatus Wolfeibacteriota. The record is from RNAcentral.
GGCCCCAUCGUCUAGUGGCCCAGGACAUCAGCUUCUCAAGCUGAAAACACGGGUUCGAUUCCCGUUGGGGCUA